GUCUAGACUGUAAAUUAUCUUCGCUAUAUGUUUUCUGUAAAGGAAGUGUCGUAAGCUAACGCGUUAAGCGAAGCGCCUGGGUAGUAUAUUCGCAAGAAUGAAACUCAAAGGUAUAGGCGGGGGAACACACAAGCAGUGGAUGAUCUCGAUUAAUUGGAUAGCAAGCCAAAAACCUUACCAAGACUUGACAUGUAUUGUGUCCCCUAGGAGACUAGGAUAUCUGGAGCAAUCUGGAGCUUUACACAGGUGGUGCAUGGUCGUCGU
Molecule: ribosomal RNA, 264 nt
Filed under: uncultured bacterium
Lineage: Bacteria
Description: partial 16S ribosomal RNA
Rfam family: Bacterial small subunit ribosomal RNA
Source: RNAcentral